This 253-nucleotide ribosomal RNA is filed under the name uncultured bacterium. Its description in RNAcentral is "partial 16S ribosomal RNA". It matches the Rfam family "Bacterial small subunit ribosomal RNA", at positions 524 to 776 of the family's 1533-position model. The record is from RNAcentral.
UACGUAGGAGACGAGCGUUGUCCGGAUUUAUUGGGCGUAAAGAGCCCGCAGGCGGCUUGGCAAGUUUGAGGUGAAAUCUCCCGGCUUAACUGGGAGGGGGCCUCGAAAACUGCCAGGCUUGAGGCAUGGAGAGGGAUGCGGAAUUCCCGGUGUAGUGGUGAAAUGCGUAGAUAUCGGGAGGAACACCAGUGGCGAAGGCGGCAUCCUGGCCAUGUCCUGACGCUCAGGGGCGAAAGCGUGGGGAGCAAACCGG